Molecule: ribosomal RNA, 484 nt
Filed under: uncultured bacterium
Lineage: Bacteria
Description: partial 16S ribosomal RNA
Rfam family: Bacterial small subunit ribosomal RNA
Source: RNAcentral
AUUGAACGCUAGCGGGAUGCUUUACACAUGCAAGUCGAACGGCAGCGCGGACUUCGGUCUGGCGGCGAGUGGCGAACGGGUGAGUAAUGUAUCGGAACGUGCCCAGUAGCGGGGGAUAACUACGCGAAAGCGUAGCUAAUACCGCAUACGCCCUACGGGGGAAAGCAGGGGAUCGUAAGACCUUGCACUAUUGGAGCGGCCGAUAGCGGAUUAGCUAGUUGGUGAGGUAACGGCUCACCAAGGCGACGAUCCGUAGCUGGUUUGAGAGGACGACCAGCCACACUGGGACUGAGACACGGCCCAGACUCCGACGGGAGGCAGCAGUGGGGAAUGUUGGACAAUGGGGGCAACCUUGAUCCAGCCAUCCCGCGUGUGUGAUGAAGGCCUUCGGGUGGUAAAGCACUUUUGGCAGGGAAGAAACGUCGCGGGCUAAUACCCCGUGGAACUGACGGUACCUGCAGAAUAAGCACCGGCUAACUACGUG